ACAGAGGUGGCGAGCGUUGUUCGGAUUUACUGGGCGUAAAGGGUGCGUAGGCGGCUUCGUGUGUCGGAUGUGAAAGCCCAUGGCUCAACCGUGGAACUGCAUCCGAAACUGCGGGGCUAGAGUACUGGAGGGGUGAGCGGAAUUCUUGGUGUAGCGGUGAAAUGCGUAGAUAUCAAGAGGAACGCCGGUGGCGAAGGCGGCUCACUGGACAGAUACUGACGCUGAGGCACGAAAGCUGGGGGAGCAAACAGG
Molecule: ribosomal RNA, 252 nt
Filed under: uncultured bacterium
Lineage: Bacteria
Description: partial 16S ribosomal RNA
Rfam family: Bacterial small subunit ribosomal RNA
Source: RNAcentral